CCUACGGGAGGCAGCAGUGAGGAAUAUUGGUCAAUGGGCUUACGCCUGAACCAGCCAAGUCGCGUGAGGGAAGAAUGCCCUAUGGGUUGUAAACCUCUUUAGGCGGGGAGCAAUGCCGGGCACGCGUGCCCGGAGGGAGAGUACCCGCAGAAUAAGCAUCGGCUAACUCCGUGCCAGCAGCCGCGGUAAUACGGAGGAUGCGAGCGGUAUCCGGAUUUAUUGGGUUAAAAGGGUGCGUGGGCGGAUUUUUAAGUAAGCGGUAAACUGUCCGGGACCAACCCGGGCCGGCCGUUGAAACUGGUGAUCUUGAGUGGGCGAGAAGUAUGCGGAAUGCGUGGUGUAGCGGUGAAAUGCACAGAGAUCACGCAGAACUCCGAUUGCGAAGGCAGCAUACCGGCGCCUGACUGACGCUGAGGCACGAAAGCGUGGGGAUCGAACAGGAUUAGAUACCCGUGUAGUC
Molecule: ribosomal RNA, 460 nt
Filed under: uncultured bacterium
Lineage: Bacteria
Description: partial 16S ribosomal RNA
Rfam family: Bacterial small subunit ribosomal RNA
Source: RNAcentral